AGAAUAAGAAGAAGAAGACGAAGAAGAAGAAGAUGAUGAGAAGAAAAGAGGAAGAAGAAGAAGAAGAAGAAGAACAAGAACAUGAAGAAGAAGAAAGGAGGAGAAGAGGAGAAGAAGAGGAAAAUAGUAGAAGAGGAAGAGGAGAAGAAAAUAAUAAUAAUAAUAAUAAUAAUAAUAAUAAUAAUAAUAAUAAUAAUAAUAAUAAUAAU
Molecule: long non-coding RNA, 209 nt
Filed under: Hordeum vulgare
Lineage: Eukaryota; Viridiplantae; Streptophyta; Magnoliopsida; Poales; Poaceae
Description: long non-coding RNA (HVUL_LNC007311)
Source: RNAcentral